UUCAAGACAACUCAGAUUUUUCAUUUUUUAUUUGUUAAGUAUUGUGUUGAUUUUUUUAUUUUAUAACUAACAUUUUUUUAUUUUUUUCUUCAACAUUCAUUGAGGUAUUUAAGAAAUUUAUUUUAUUUAUUUAUUUUUCAGAUUUAAUAUAUAUUAGAUUGUUGAUUGUUUUUAUUGUAGGAUAGUUAAUCCAAAAUUAAUUUAUUUAUAUAUUUAAAUAGUUUUUUUUAAACAAAAUAUUAUUUUUCAUAAUAUAAUUUUUAUAAUAUAUUUUUUAUAAUAU
RNAcentral lists this long non-coding RNA (283 nucleotides) under Lathyrus oleraceus (garden pea). RNAcentral describes it as "Pisum sativum (pea) long non-coding RNA (PSAT_LNC003025)". Lineage: Eukaryota; Viridiplantae; Streptophyta; Magnoliopsida; Fabales; Fabaceae. The record is from RNAcentral.